RNAcentral lists this ribosomal RNA (569 nucleotides) under Dolichoderus bispinosus. RNAcentral's name for it is "partial 28S ribosomal RNA". Lineage: Eukaryota; Metazoa; Arthropoda; Insecta; Hymenoptera; Formicidae. The record is from RNAcentral.
GUUAAGGGUAAACCUAAGAAACCCAAAAAAUCGAACGGAGAGAUUCAUUGUCAGCGGUGCUGGCUUCGCGUCGGUGGGCGAUGCUCCGCGGAUGUCCCUCGCCGGAUUCUAUCUUGCGGACACGCUUUCGUGCGCCGAUGUCCGGCGCUUAUCGUCGUGCACUUCUCCCUUAGUAGGACGUCACGACCCGCUGGGUGUCGAUCUACGGCCCGGAUGCGGUGACUGUCGCAUCGCCGGUAAAACGACACGCCGCAAAUUCCUGGCUGCCCGGCGGUACACGCAUGGUAUCAGGCUGCAAACAGCGUGGAGAGGCUAGAGUGUUCCACGCUCUUUGCCACCUCACUUGCGUCGUGUGCGUCGGGACCGUCGCAAGCGCGCGUUAAGGAACUCUGAGGUUCAACGGGACUUAUACGCCGUCCUCUGUCCUCGGCCCGCUGUUGGUACGGUUCACUUCUCCGACAGUCCUGCGAACCCGAGGGGGCACCACUUUCCGUGCGCGCUCCCUCGGGCAUACCAAUCAGCGAUACUACUGUUUUGGGUACUCUUAUGACCCGUCUUGAAACACGGAA